RNAcentral lists this long non-coding RNA (561 nucleotides) under Phasianus colchicus (ring-necked pheasant). RNAcentral describes it as "lncRNA (ENSPCLG00000017877.1)". The record is from RNAcentral. Lineage: Eukaryota; Metazoa; Chordata; Aves; Galliformes; Phasianidae.
CACUGGAUUCCGGUGUUUCUGCCCCCAAAUCCCCAUUUUUGAUGUUUCUGCCCCCAAAUCCCCAUUUUUUUGGUGUUUCAGCCCCAAAAUCCCCAUAUUUGAUGUUUCUGGCCUGAAAUCCCCAUUUUCGGUGUUUCAGCCCCAAAAUCAACACUGGAUUCUGGUGUUUCAGCCCCCAAAUCCCCAUUUUUGGUCUUUCAGCCCCAAAAUCAACACCGGAUUCUGGUGUUUCAGCCCCAAAAUCGACAUUUUUGGUCUUCCAGCCCCCAAAAUCCCCAUUUUUGAUGUUUCAGCCCCAAAACCAACACUGGAUUCUGGUGCUUCUGACCCCCAAAUCCCCAUUUUUGGUGUUUCAGCCCCAAAAUCACAAUUUUUGGUGUUUCAGCCCCAAAAUCAACACUGUAUUCUGGAGGUUCUGGCCCCAAAAUUAACAAUUCUUGGUCUUUCAGCCCCAAAAUCACCAUUUUUGAUGUUUCUGGCCUCAAAAUCCCCAUUUUUGAUGUUUCAGCCCCAAAAUCCCUAUAUUUGAUGUUUCUGGCCUCAAAUCCCCAUUUUCGGUGU